UACGGAGGAUUCAAGCGUUAUCCGGAUUUAUUGGGUUUAAAGGGUGCGUAGGCGGUUAGAUAAGUUAGAGGUGAAAUGUUAGGGCUUAACCCUGAAACUGCCUCUAAUACUGUUUAGCUAGAGAAUAGUUGCGGUAGGCGGAAUGUAUGGUGUAGCGGUGAAAUGCUUAGAGAUCAUACAGAACACCGAUUGCGAAGGCAGCUUACCAAACUAUGACUGACGUUGAGGCACGAAAGCGUGGGGAGCAAACAGG
RNAcentral lists this ribosomal RNA (253 nucleotides) under uncultured bacterium. RNAcentral's name for it is "partial 16S ribosomal RNA". It matches the Rfam family "Bacterial small subunit ribosomal RNA", at positions 524 to 776 of the family's 1533-position model. The record is from RNAcentral.